ACAAAGAAGACCCUCUGAGGAAAGACAAGUAAAACAUAAUCCAUAAUAAUGUCAACCAUUUGGAGAAGGUAGUUCAAUAAGAAGAUCUGAAGAUAGUUAAAGCACAUGAGGAACACCACCACCAACAAAGUAUAUUUCUUUUAUAGGAUGAUUAGCGAAGUGGGAUUAUACAAGAGGGGUUGCUCUGAUGGUAAGCAAUCCGCACUUCCAAUCGAAAGUUGUGAGUUCGAGUCUCCCCAAGAGCAAGGUGGGAAGUUCUUGGAGGGAAGGAUGCCGGGAGUUUAUUUGGAAACAGCCUCUCUACCCCGGGGUAGGGGUAAGAUCUGUGUAUACACUACCCUCCUCAGACCCCAAUAAAUGAAAGUAUACUGGGUUGUUGUUGUUGAUGAUUAGCGAAAGCCAUCUCUUUCCCUAGCGCUAUCAAAUUUACUAUUAUGUUAACAUGUGUCAAUGUGCUAUUACCAACAAAAAUGUUCAUCACAGUAAUCUAAUUUUCCCUCAGUCUUGGAAAUGGGUGCAUUCUAAAGCUUGGCCGUAAGUUUUCUCGAAAUAAAUUUGAGAUUUAUUUUCAAAAGUCGUGUUUAGUCAUAAAUUUUGCUUAUAUUUUGG
Molecule: long non-coding RNA, 609 nt
Filed under: Nicotiana benthamiana
Lineage: Eukaryota; Viridiplantae; Streptophyta; Magnoliopsida; Solanales; Solanaceae
Description: long non-coding RNA (NBEN_LNC009342)
Source: RNAcentral